Molecule: long non-coding RNA, 1057 nt
Organism: Leptidea sinapis
Lineage: Eukaryota; Metazoa; Arthropoda; Insecta; Lepidoptera; Pieridae
Exons: 2
Source: RefSeq, a predicted model, not a curated record
UUUUUUUAAUUGCAGGUAGAGAAGAGUAAAUCUAGUGGUGCCGGGACAGAAGACAUUUACACACCAUCCUUGUGGUAUUAUCAAUAUUUUACGUUUUUACACGAAAAACAGAAUCCAGCGGUACAAGGAGUAGACAAUUAUGACGACUGUGACAGCGGCAGCGAGAGAAUUGAACCUGAAAAAAAAAACAAGAAACUCAAACAAACGACAAGCAAAUGAAAUCCUUCAAAAACAAGUCCAAGUGCUUGAUGCGGCAAAAACUUUACUAAAUGAUUCUGGUGAAGAAAGUUCAGCUGAUACUUUUGGACGUUCUGUUAGCUCUCAACUAAAAGAGAUCCCAAAUACAUCGCAGCGCUGUUUAGCAGAGAAAUUAAUAGGGGAAAUUUUAUUUUAUGCCAAAUUAAGUGAGCUAAAUAUAAAUACUGUAAUUAAUUUAGAUUUACGUCCAGGUCAGUCUCAAACAGGUUUUCACCACGUUCAUCAUCUCUGUACCCAUCUUCACAUUCGAUGAUUCAGCCAUACUCACAAUCACGUCGGGACGUAGUCCAAUAUACACAUUCAUUCUCACACUCGCUGUCACCUCUAAAACAAGAUCAGUCUCCAAACUCACAUUGGCAGUCACCUCGCCACCAAAUCCAAUCUCCACACUCAAACUCAAACUCGCCGUCACCUCUCUACCAAGUUCAAGCUCCACACUCACACUCACAGUCACCUCUUCACCAAGUUCAGUCUCCAAACUCACACUCGCAGUCACCUCUUCACCAAGUUCAGUCUCCAAACUCACACUCGCAGUCACCUAUUCACCAAGUUCAGUCUCCAAACUCACACUCGCAGUCACCUCUUCACCAAGCUCAAACUCCACACUCGCUCUCACACUCGCGGUCAUCUCAGAAUCAGUCCCUUGAUUUUAAUUUAGAUUUGACUAAUGCAUCAAUUGAUACUACUGAUAAUUAUGUGGUAAGAGGCGAAUGUAAAGAUCUCAAAGAUUUUUUGAUUUUUAAGAAACCGCUUUAGUAAUAACUAAUAUGUUUUUAAUAAAGAUAAAUAUUUUAUUAAA